GGCGGAUGUAGCCAAGUGAAUAAAGGCAGU
This 30-nucleotide transfer RNA is filed under the name Bouchetia erecta. Its description in RNAcentral is "partial tRNA-His". The record is from RNAcentral. Lineage: Eukaryota; Viridiplantae; Streptophyta; Magnoliopsida; Solanales; Solanaceae.